Long non-coding RNA from Ipomoea triloba (trilobed morning glory), 1026 nucleotides. RefSeq lists it as uncharacterized. Lineage: Eukaryota; Viridiplantae; Streptophyta; Magnoliopsida; Solanales; Convolvulaceae. The transcript is spliced from 2 exons. The record is from RefSeq and is a predicted model, not a curated record.
ACCAUGUCUUCCUUUCCCUUAUGUUUAAUGUAUAUAUAAUUAUUGGAUAAUGGAAAAUGAUGAUAAGAUUUUGCACUUCCUGGACAUCAAUUAGACUCCCACUUUUCUUUUUCUUUUGUUCUAUUUUGUUUAUUUCAUCCUCCUUUCAUCAAUCAACAACAUCAACAUAACCCAUGUGAACUGCCAUUUCAUCCAUGCUACAGCUUCUCGCCACCACCACGCUUCCGCCGCACCUAUUUGCCGACGACGCGAAGACCUGUGGAGGCUGAGCUGCAUGCCGACUCCGUGAGAAGGAGAGGAGAGGAGAGGAGAGGGCGAAGUCUGGUGGAGACCCAGCCGCCAAGCUCAUCACCGCGCUGUUGCCAUCCUCAUCUAUCGCUGGUCUACCGGCCAAAGAGUGAAGACGAUGAUGGACGCUGCCCAGUCACCGCCAUCGACCAAGGAAGAAGGCCACCGGAGUUCUGUCGGUCGCUGCUUCCCAUCGCCGUUUACCGUACCCCUGCUUCUUUGUUCAUCAUCUACAAGCUUUAAGCUUCUACAUAACUGCCUUGUCGGAAAAUAUGGGGUUGACGGCAAGGAUUUGUUGGUGAUGUUGAAUAUUGUUACGAACAAGAAAUGAGCAAGCAAAGUUGUGCUUGGCCAGAGAAGACACUAUGUGAAAGAGCACUUUCGUGCUGAUAACGUGUUAUGAAUAAUAACAAUAAUUGUGAUAUUAUGGAGAAAUGAAAGUAAAGAACACAAAAGCUAGAAGGAGGAAGAAGCAUUCAUUGCAUUGAUGUUUGCUGGGGAUUAUCUUUACAAAGGAGCGAUAGGGGUAUUUAUAGUAUCAGAAUAUAGAGUAAACAAAUAUAAUAUUUGCAUAAGGUUGACAAGUGUUAAAGUUAGUCUAUUUGGUUGAUCAGAGGAUAGCUUUGCUUUGUCAUGCUUGAGGCUAUGUGUUCCAUCCCUAGCAGUUGCUUUGGAACUUGAAUUUAUUCUUUUCUGAACUGAGAACCGCCAUCAUAAUAUGAUACAAUAUUUACAGGC